CCAGAAACAGAGUAAACAGGGUCAGCCAGCGGUGGGGAGCUAGGCGGCUUCUCCUUCCACCUGGCUCGCUCUCCAUUCCGGAGGUCUAGAUGUGUGUCUGUGAUCUGUCAUUCAGUCACGCAGAACAGCCACGCCAAAUUCUGGUCUUGAGAAGAAGCAGCUCGACACAUGUAUUUCUUGUGCUCCCCACUCAGCCAGUGAGGGGAUCCUGGAAAUGCUGAGCCCGCGCGGGUUCCAACCAUCCCAGCCCAAAUGCUACGGGCUGCUGGGGAGCAGAACUCAGCAGGCAGGAAUGAUCCUGGUUGAAAGUAAGAGAAAGAGAGUUCCAUCUUUCCAAUUCUCCAGGAAUCUCAAACUCCCCAGUUUUCACUGCCGUGUGCCACGUUCCAAGAGCUGACCCAGAGGGAGUCCCAUCCUGAAACAGGUGGGCACAGCUGUGUAAACACCGUCCUCACUUUCAGAUACGGUCUACCACCUGUGUCAUGAGGGACGAAGGUGUUUAACUGCCAGUGAGACAUCUUGCAGCAUGCUCUUCCUCUGUUGUGGCAACUGUGGAGCCAUUUGUUGAGAUGGAAGUGUCAUAAGAUCAAAGCAGCCUGGAGCCCUGGGGCACAGGUGUCCUAGAGAACCAUUCAGACCUACAAUGGACUUCAGCUGAAACAGUAAUAAACUUCCUUCAUGUUAAUCCACUAACAUUUGGCAUUAUUUGUUAUAGCAGCAUAGUUCAGCACAUCCUGACUGUUAGAGCUAAUAAAUUUUACACCUCAAACCAUAAGCCAUAGUUUGGUUCCUAUCUACUGUUAAGAGAGACAUAUGCCACUUAUUAGCUGUGGCUUU
Molecule: long non-coding RNA, 837 nt
Organism: Orcinus orca (killer whale)
Lineage: Eukaryota; Metazoa; Chordata; Mammalia; Artiodactyla; Delphinidae
Exons: 3
Source: RefSeq, a predicted model, not a curated record